Molecule: ribosomal RNA, 378 nt
Filed under: uncultured bacterium
Lineage: Bacteria
Description: bacterial SSU rRNA
Rfam family: Bacterial small subunit ribosomal RNA
Source: RNAcentral
GACGUAGGGGGCGAGCGUUGUCCGGAUUUAUUGGGCGUAAAGAGCGCGUAGGCGGCCCGGAAAGUCGGAUGUGAAAACCCGGGGCUCAACCCCGGGCCUGCAUCCGAUACUCCCGGGCUGGAGGCAGGUAGGGGAGAUCGGAAUUCCUGGUGUAGCGGUGAAAUGCGCAGAUAUCAGGAGGAACACCGGUGGCGAAGGCGGAUCUCUGGGCCUGUCCUGACGCUGAGGCGCGAAAGCUAGGGGAGCGAACAGGAUUAGAUACCCUGGUAGUCCUAGCCGUAAACGUUGGGUGCUAGGUGUGGGGCGGCGAUUGACCCGCUCCGUGCCGUAGCUAACGCAUUAAGCACCCCGCCUGGGGAGUACGGCCGCAAGGUUAAA